CCUACGGGAGGCAGCAGUGAGGAAUAUUGGUCAAUGGGCGCGAGCCUGAACCAGCCAAGUCGCGUGAGGGAAGACGGUCCUAUGGAUUGUAAACCUCUUUUGUCGGGGAGCAAAAGACGCCACGCGUGGCGUUCCGCGAGUACCCGAAGAAAAAGCAUCGGCUAACUCCGUGCCAGCAGCCGCGAUAAUACGGAGGAUGCGAGCGUUAUCCGGAUUUAUUGGGUUUAAAGGGUGCGCAGGCGGAAGAUCAAGUCAGCGGUAAAAUUGAGAGGCUCAACCUCUUCGAGCCGUUGAAACUGGUUGUCUUGAGUGAGUGAGAGGUAUGCGGAAUGCGUGGUGUAGCGGUGAAAUGCAUAGAUAUCACGCAGAACUCCGAUUGCGAAGGCAGCAUACCGGCGCUCAACUGACGCUCAUGCACGAAAGUGUGGGUAUCGAACAGGAUUAGAUACCCGUGUAGUC
RNAcentral lists this ribosomal RNA (459 nucleotides) under uncultured bacterium. RNAcentral describes it as "partial 16S ribosomal RNA". It matches the Rfam family "Bacterial small subunit ribosomal RNA", at positions 338 to 795 of the family's 1533-position model. The record is from RNAcentral.